This 573-nucleotide long non-coding RNA is filed under the name Falco tinnunculus (common kestrel). Its description in RNAcentral is "lncRNA (ENSFTIG00000003042.1)". Lineage: Eukaryota; Metazoa; Chordata; Aves; Falconiformes; Falconidae. The record is from RNAcentral.
AUUGAGUACCAGGGGCAGGGCAGGCAUGAUGUCUCUGAUGGCCCUCCCAGUGAGUGGGUAGAUGCCACCAGGGAGUCCACACAGGGAGAGGAGGAGAUGGGAGAGAGGAAACAGCUGGGAACCAGGGUUCCAGUGACAGAUGGAUCUCUUGUGCACACUUGCUCUUUCCCUCUCUGUAGUUUUGUUUUCGACAUGUUUGAUUUGAAGCUCUGAAGCUUCUCAGAGAGAACCCAGGAGAGAAGGAAGAGAAGGAGGAGGAACCAAGGGAGCGUGAGCGACAGAGGAGGCAGCCCUGCCUUGUUCUUCCAAAUCACACCGUGGAAGGGCAGGGGAAGACUAGAGGCGGGGAGGACUUGGAAAAGAAGCACAAGGUAGCUCCCAGACCAACCAUCCAUGGUCAUAGCUUUUGGGUGUACUGCAAGCAGAUUGCAUGUGUUCCCCCUGCUCCAUGCUCCUGGCUUGACCCAGAGGGCAAGAAGAAACAAUGGUGAUGACACCCAGUAGGACUGGGGUGCUCAUGCCCUUCCAUUGCUAAACCCCAGGUACUGGCCCUUUCUCUUCCCUCUGCCCCUU